This 68-nucleotide transfer RNA is filed under the name Echinochasmus japonicus. RNAcentral describes it as "tRNA-Gly". The record is from RNAcentral. Lineage: Eukaryota; Metazoa; Platyhelminthes; Trematoda; Plagiorchiida; Echinochasmidae.
GUGGCGUUAGUAUAGGGGUUGAGUAUGUCGUCUUUCCAAGUCGGAGGUUUAGUUUUCUAAACGCUACA